UCUAUGGUGAAUGCUCUGGGGUACAGUGAGCCUACGGGUCUGGCAAUGGUGAGGCCCUACCCAUUACCUGAACUGGGCUAACUGGAGCCCCCUUUCGAUGGUCCCCAUUUAUUAUUCCUCACUCCUUCACUCCUAGACCAGACCCGCUGAGAAACAGCACACUGAGGUGUUGGAAGAAACAAGAAAUCAAUUCCGCUUGAUGGCAGUGUUGCACCAAGAAUGCCAAGGGACCUGUCUUCCAGUGGCUCUCCCUCCGCCCUUCCCUGAAGGAAAAAAGGCCAACAACAUGUCAUUAUACUCCAAAAUGGUUGAGUUCAAUCUUGACCUCUUCUGCUCAGAGAUGGGUCUUGGAGCCCUACAGUAUGGAUCCUGACAUGGAGUGGGGGUGUCACAGAACUCACAGAGUUCUCAACCCCAUUGUAUGGAGAUGAUUAACUACAAGGGGCAUGGUCUGCCCUCAAGGCCUAAGGACCAUACAGGAAAACUACACUGGGAAUUCCACAACUAGAAGCAAGUGUCAGGAGAAGCCACAGACUCAAACCUUGGCCUGAAACUGGAUCCAGGGAUGAGUACAGUUCCUGCCAUAGCCUGCCAGAACACUAUAAAUGGCAAAUGUGUACAGGACCCUCCGAUGGUAUAUUGAUGCUUUUAGAAUCUUGACCAGCAGUUGAGCUGGAUGAGGACUCAGAUGCAUACAGUCUGAAGAUUCAUGGAAACAAGAUCUGCUGAGAAGCUGUCGAAGUGAGCUUUUAGGAUUUGACCAGCAUUUCAGCUGAGAUCAAUUCGGGUGAGGACUCCGAAGCUUUCAGUCUGAAGAUUCAUGGAAACAAGAUCUGCUGAGAAGUUUGCGAGCAGCUGCAGCCCGUUUGUCCAGUCUGUAUCAAGCCAGACAGCCACCGGGAACGGCAAGUUUUAGGACUCAGAAAAGAAGAAGACUUUUCGUUCUGAAGAUUCAUGGGAACAGGAUCAGCGGAGAAGUUGGUGAGGUGAGGUUAGCUGUGACGCAGCACUUGAGAUCUCAUGUCUUACUUGGGAAAGACA
This is a long non-coding RNA of Peromyscus leucopus (white-footed mouse), 1041 nucleotides long. RefSeq lists it as uncharacterized. The transcript is spliced from 5 exons. NCBI's taxonomy places the organism in Eukaryota, Metazoa, Chordata, Mammalia, Rodentia, Cricetidae. The record is from RefSeq and is a predicted model, not a curated record.